This 404-nucleotide ribosomal RNA is filed under the name Actinomycetes bacterium. Its description in RNAcentral is "Actinobacteria bacterium partial 16S ribosomal RNA". It matches the Rfam family "Bacterial small subunit ribosomal RNA", at positions 355 to 776 of the family's 1533-position model. The record is from RNAcentral. Lineage: Bacteria; Bacillati; Actinomycetota; Actinomycetes.
UGGGGAAUAUUGGACAAUGGGCGCAAGCCUGAUCCAGCCAUGCCGCGUGAGUGAUGAAGGCCCUAGGGUUGUAAAGCUCUUUCACCGGUGAAGAUAAUGACGGUAACCGGAGAAGAAGCCCCGGCUAACUUCGUGCCAGCAGCCGCGGUAAUACGAAGGGGGCUAGCAUUGUUCGGAUUUACUGGGCGUAAAGCGCACGUAGGCGGACUUUUAAGUCAGGGGUGAAAUCCCGGGGCUCAACCCCGGAACUGCCUUUGAUACUGGAAGUCUUGAGUAUGGUAGAGGUGAGUGGAAUUCCGAGUGUAGAGGUGAAAUUCGUAGAUAUUCGGAGGAACACCAGUGGCGAAGGCGGCUCACUGGACCAUUACUGACGCUGAGGUGCGAAAGCGUGGGGAGCAAACAGG